GGCGCACGCCGGGAGGCGGCAGAGAGGGAGACAGCAGACUCGGCGGGGGCUCCGCGGCGGAUCCCGGGGACUCCUGCAGCGCCAGCGGGAACUGCAGCGAACCCGAACCGCCCAGCAGGCUGUAGCACAGUCCACAGAGUUCACUGAAGUGUAACGUCCUAAACUACUCAGAACAUGACAGCUGUGACUCAAAGCCUACCAAGACGCAGAGCCAGCCUGUAUGUCCGGCCGCAGAUGAAGAGAUGAAGAAAUCUGAUGGACGAAGCCAUGUCGUCUUCAAAAAUCCUGGUGGAGCGGCAGGUCAUCAUGGCUUUCCCUGGGAACUCGGUCCUUUUGUCUCAGCCAUAGGGUUGCUCCUUGAAGCCUUCCCGGUCACUGACUCCUCACGCAGUCUAUCCAGCUCCUUCAGUUGUUCACCGAGGCCCUCUGUGCCCUCUACACUUGAGCUAUUUUAAUUUGACAUAAUUUAUGAACUAUAUUCCGGCACUACAAUUAAAUAGUAUGUCUUUACAUAA
RNAcentral lists this long non-coding RNA (515 nucleotides) under Mus pahari (shrew mouse). Its description in RNAcentral is "lncRNA (MGP_PahariEiJ_G0002207.1)". Lineage: Eukaryota; Metazoa; Chordata; Mammalia; Rodentia; Muridae. The record is from RNAcentral.